UUUUUUUUUCAAUUUU
Molecule: small RNA, 16 nt
Filed under: Arabidopsis thaliana (thale cress)
Lineage: Eukaryota; Viridiplantae; Streptophyta; Magnoliopsida; Brassicales; Brassicaceae
Description: ATSL126780
Source: RNAcentral